This 497-nucleotide ribosomal RNA is filed under the name uncultured bacterium. RNAcentral describes it as "partial 16S ribosomal RNA". It matches the Rfam family "Bacterial small subunit ribosomal RNA", at positions 28 to 507 of the family's 1533-position model. The record is from RNAcentral.
GAUGAACGCUGGCGGCGUGCCUAAUACAUGCAAGUCGAGCGAACAGACGAGGAGCUUGCUCCUCUGACGUUAGCGGCGGACGGGUGAGUAACACGUGGAUAACCUACCUAUAAGACUGGGAUAACUUCGGGAAACCGGAGCUAAUACCGGAUAAUAUAUUGAACCGCAUGGUUCAAUAGUGAAAGACGGUUUUGCUGUCACUUAUAGAUGGAUCCGCGCCGCAUUAGCUAGUUGGUAAGGUAACGGCUUACCAACGCGACGAUGCGUAGCCGACCUGAGAGGGUGAUCGGCCACACUGGAACUGAGACACGGUCCAGACUCCUACGGGAGGCAGCAGUAGGGAAUCUUCCGCAAUGGGCGAAAGCCUGACGGAGCAACGCCGCGUGAGUGAUGAAGGUCUUCGGAUCGUAAAACUCUGUUAUUAGGGAAGAACAAAUGUGUAAGUAACUAUGCACGUCUUGACGGUACCUAAUCAGAAAGCCACGGCUAACUACGUG